AUGGGGGGGCAUGGAAACCCCCAGGGGGGACCAAAGGUGGGGUCGAGGGCUGUCCCUACCCGCGGGGGGGGUCCCCCGCUCUGCACCACCGCGGGACGUGGCCGUGGCGACCUCUCCGCUGCCGUGGCGACCGCGCCGCGCAUCCCUCCCUCCCCGGGCCGGCCGGGCGGGGGUUUAUUAUUAAUAAUAAUCAUCCGUAGCCCCCCGGGCACCUGCCCUCGCACCGAGCCCGCUCCUCACCGGCUCCGUAAGAACUUGCCGGGGGGUGGAGGUGCUCCCGCUGCCCCCCCAGCUCCCCCCCCUGCCCCUUACCUCCGCGGCGGCGCCCGGGAAGCUGCGGGCGCGCCGCCGCCGCGGGCAGGGAUGACCUUGCGGAGAAAUUCAUCAUCCGGGCAGGAAAACAAGCCCGUCCUCGGGGUGUGCGGCGGAGGGAGGGAAGGAGAGAGGGAGGGAGGGAGGGAAGAAAGAAGGGAUGGAGAGAGAGGGAGGAGGGCUGCGCCGGGGUGCCCUCCCCGCCGCGGCGGCAGGGAAAGGCAACCCGGGCGGGCUCGCAAGAGGCACCGGGAGGCUCCGGGCCGCUCCGAGCUGCGGCGGUGGGAGGCGGGGAGCCGGGGAGCCGAGGAGCCGGGCAGCGCUCCCCCCGGCGGCCGCCGGCGGAGCGGGGCAGCCCCGAGCCCCCGCCAGCCCGCCCCGAGCCCCCGGUUUCGGCGCAGGCAUCCCCCGCGCCGAGCCCACCUCGGAGCCGCUCCCGGAGCAAAAGCUACGUGCUCGGAGGGGGAAAGCGCCUGCUCCUCCGCGGUACAAGAGCCACCAGACCUGCAGCACAUCGGGAGGAAAUCCGCCGGUCCCAUCCAGCCCUCCUCCGUGUGUCGCUUAGCUCAGCUAUCCAGGCACCCGACGAGCCAUCAUCCAAAUUUGCGUGGGGCAUUGCAGCGGAUGCAAACGGUGAUGGGCUCCUGUCACGCGUUCAGUUCGGGCUGCUUGCUGCUUUUGAGACGGAAAUCUGGCUUCCGCUAUGAAGCUGGCCGGCCUGCCUGCGGCUAG
This 1044-nucleotide long non-coding RNA is filed under the name Anas platyrhynchos platyrhynchos (common mallard). Its description in RNAcentral is "lncRNA (ENSAPLG00000019526.1)". Lineage: Eukaryota; Metazoa; Chordata; Aves; Anseriformes; Anatidae. The record is from RNAcentral.